AAGAGGUCAGUUCAAGCGCUGAGCUCGGUCAUACAAUACGAAGCCGAUCAAAAACGUACAGAGUUUCCAGGAGGGCGGUCGUGUUACGAUCAAAGAGAAAGAGAGAGAGAACCUUUCUUCCCCACGGUUUAACACAUACAAAUUUCUUGAUUUGUACGACGGUAUACUGGAUUUCAACGCGCGUCACGAGAGAAACGUUAUUCGUAAUAGAAUAAUGUCGCGUCGUGUGAUUUGACAGUGAAGGAAACAAUCGAAUGGGAAAAGUGCCUCGACAUUCAGUGGGACGAGAAAGAAGACAAGGACGUCGGUGUGCGAAAGAAAGAGAACGAAAGAGAUAGAGAGAGAGAGAGAAAAGAGGAAAAUAGGAAAGAAGAAGGAAGAAGGAAAAAGGAAAAAGAGAUAAGCUCGUGACCGAGCUCGAAGAGAUGACGGGGGAGGAGGGGAAAGGUGGCGGUGGCGCCGGUGGGAAUACGAACGUUAAUGCGACCGAUAAUGUGAACAAUGUUAACGCUAACAUCAAUGCAAAUGUCAAUGUCAACAUCAACGCGAACACGAAUGUCGUUCACCAAAAUGGCGGAACUGAGAAGGCGCCGGUUGUCGGUGGUACCAACGUUGAGACAUUGCCGCGUGCUGGAAAACAGAGCGAUCCAAGCACGUCAUUUUUGAGAGCAGCUCGUGCAGGCCAACUCGAAAAGGUUUUGGAAUAUCUUGAAUCGGGCGUGGACAUUAACGCAUCGAAUGCUAACGGACUGAAUGCUUUGCACCUGGCAGCUAAGGAUGGCCACUUGGAAAUCGUACGAGAACUUCUUAAUCGUGGCGCAGUAGUCGAUGCUGCUACUAAAAAGGGAAACACCGCAUUGCACAUUGCUUCUCUUGCUGGACAAGAGGAGGUUGUACAAUUGCUCGUUCUACAAGGUGCUUCUGUCAACGCACAGUCACAAAAUGGGUUCACACCACUAUAUAUGGCCGCUCAGGAAAAUCAUGACUCUGUGGUCAAGUACCUCCUCAAUAAGGGUGCAAAUCAAACCCUCACUACGGAGGAUGGGUUCACUCCAUUGGCGGUGGCCAUGCAACAGGGUCACGAUAAAGUAGUUGCCGUUCUAUUGGAAAAUGAUACUCGCGGUAAAGUUCGAUUACCUGCCCUCCACAUCGCAGCUAAGAAGGAUGAUUGUAAUGCGGCUGCCCUACUUUUACAAAACGACCAUAAUCCCGAUGUAACUUCGAAAAGCGGUUUUACGCCACUUCACAUAGCCGCGCAUUAUGGCAACGAUCGAAUUGCUUCUUUACUUUAUGACAGAGGCGCGGAUGUUAAUUUUGUUGCUAAACACAAUAUUACACCGAUUCAUGUAGCUGCAAAAUGGGGUAAAAUAAAAAUGGUAAGUCAUCUGAUGAAUAAAGGAGCAAAUAUCGAAGCUAAAACGAGAGAUGGCCUUACACCUCUUCAUUGUGCAGCAAGAUCAGGUCAUCAUGAAGUUGUUGAUAUUCUUAUUGAAAAGGGAGCACCCAUUGGGUCUAAGACAAAGAAUGGUCUCGCACCAUUACACAUGGCUGCUCAAGGAGAUCACGUAGACGCAGCAAGGGUUCUACUUUAUCAUCGUGCACCUGUGGACGAAGUAACAGUAGACUAUUUAACAGCAUUGCAUGUAGCAGCUCAUUGUGGUCACGUAAGAGUGGCCAAACUUUUACUCGAUAGAAAUGCGGAUCCUAAUGCACGUGCACUCAAUGGUUUCACACCUCUUCAUAUCGCGUGUAAGAAGAACAGAAUCAAAGUAGUUGAACUUCUUUUAAAACACAAAGCUAGUAUCGAAGCCACUACGGAGUCCGGAUUAACUCCGCUGCAUGUAGCAAGUUUUAUGGGAUGUAUGAACAUCGUCAUUUACUUGCUGCAACACGAAGCUAGUCCAGACAUACCGACAGUAAGAGGCGAGACGCCGUUACAUUUAGCUGCUAGAGCAAACCAGACUGAUAUUAUCAGGAUACUUCUUAGGAAUGGUGCUCAAGUUGACGCUAGAGCAAGGGAGGAACAAACACCACUCCACGUUGCUUCCCGUUUAGGUAACGUUGAUAUCGUAAUGUUGCUAUUACAACACGGUGCUGGAGUUGAUGCAACAACAAAAGAUUUGUACACUCCACUUCAUAUCGCUGCUAAGGAAGGUCAAGAAGAGGUUGCUUCAGUUUUAUUAGAAAACGGCGCAUCGCUUACUGCUACGACUAAAAAAGGUUUUACGCCAUUGCAUUUGGCAGCUAAAUACGGCAAUAUGAACGUGGCAAGAUUGUUAUUACAAAAGAAUGCACCGGUUGAUGCUCAAGGAAAGAAUGGAGUAACUCCUCUUCACGUAGCAUCGCAUUACGAUCAUCAGAAUGUAGCAUUGCUCCUAUUAGACAAGGGUGCUUCGCCACAUGCUAUGGCUAAAAAUGGUCAUACACCUUUACAUAUUGCUGCACGAAAAAAUCAGAUGGACAUUGCAACAACAUUACUGGAAUAUGGUGCAAAAGCUAAUGCAGAAUCAAAAGCUGGAUUUACGCCGCUACAUUUAAGUGCACAAGAAGGACACACUGAUAUGUCAACUUUACUUAUCGAACACAAGGCAGACACAAAUCAUAAGGCGAAGAAUGGUCUUACGCCGUUACAUUUAUGCGCACAAGAGGAUAAGGUCAACGUUGCUUCUAUCCUCGUAAAGAAUGGUGCUCAGAUCGAUGUUAAAACAAAGGCUGGUUACACGCCAUUGCACGUUGCAGCUCAUUUUGGACAAUCAGCAAUGGUGCGAUUCCUUUUGCGCUCCGGUGCAACUGUUGAUAACAGUACCAAUGCUGGUUACACGCCGUUACACCAAGCUGCUCAGCAGGGACACACGCUGGUUAUUAAUUUACUAUUAGAAAGUAAAGCUAAGCCAAAUGCUGUAACCAAUAAUGGGCAAACUGCUUUGGAUAUUGCACAAAAACUUGGCUAUAUCAGCGUCAUUGAGACAUUAAAGGUUGUAACUGAAACUAUUAUUACCACAACACAUACUAUCACUAUUGAAGAAAAAUAUAGAGUACAAGCACCCGAAUCUAUGCAAGAAACAUUCAUGAGUGACAGUGAAGAUGAAGGCGGUGGUGAUGAAAUCGGCAUGGCAGCCAUGAAUGUGUACGGGCAGCCUCCACACGCGCAACACGUGUACCUUCCUUCUUACUACAAGGGCCAAAUGACCUAUACCCGUGAAGAUCCGAUGCUCAGCGACCAACAUCAAUACCGUUACAUGACUGUUGAUGAUAUGAAAUCUAUGGGAGACGAUUCUAUGCGCGUUAAUGUUACCGAUGACGAAAGAGAUAAUCGACAUGCUGGAGCUCCCACGAUAACAGAAAUGAUCACCAAGGAAAACUAUCAACGUUCUAAUGCCGCAAUUCUAAAACCGGACAAUAUAGAUAUCAAUAGGCAUCCGGUUCACGUUGGAAUCCCACAAUGGAGAAACUUCCUGGUUUCUUUCCUGGUCGACGCGAGGGGUGGUGCAAUGAGGGGAUGUAGACACAGCGGAGUUCGCGUUAUCGUGCCCCCACGUAAAGCAGCAAUGCCGAUGAGAGUAACCUGCAGAUAUCUAAGGAGAGAUAAAUUGACCAAUCCGCCUCCCUUAAUGGAAGGCGAGGCUUUGGCCAGUCGUAUUUUAGAACUUGGGCCAGUCGGUGCGAAAUUUUUAGGACCCGUCAUCAUCGAAGUACCACAUUUUGCAUCAUUAAGAGGGAAGGAACGAGAAAUAGUUAUCUUGCGUUCGGACAACGGAGAAACUUGGCGCGAACAUACCCUGGAGGCUAGCGAGGAGGCUGUACAGGAUGUUCUUAACGAGAGCUUUGAAGGAGAAGAAUUAAGCCAGCUAGAGGAUCUUCAAACGUCGCGUAUCGUAAGGAUACUUACCGCUGAUUUUCCACAUUAUUUCGCGGUUGUCUCUCGCAUCAGGCAAGAAGUACACGCUGUUGGACCGGAAGGUGGUACCGUAUCAUCAUCGGCUGUUCCUCAGGUUCAAGCUGUAUUCCCACCUGCAGCUUUGACCAAGAAGAUUAGAGUUGGCUUACAGGCCCAUCCGAUACCAGCUGAACUAGUAGCUAAACUACUAGGUAAUCGAGUCGCAGUAUCGCCCAUAGUUACGGUAGAACCACGACGACGAAAGUUCCAUAAGCCGAUAACUUUGACCAUACCAGUUCCACAAGCAGCUAAUAAAGGCAUGAUUAACCAAUACUCGGGGGAUGCACCGACCCUAAGGCUCCUGUGCAGCAUAACUGGAAAAUCGAUACUGAAGGGUCGAGGAAGAUCUUGUCUAUCGAGUCGUUCAGGGGGUCAGUCUCGGGCAGUCUGGGAGGAUGUCACAGGUUCGACGCCGUUGACUUUCGUCAAGGAUUGUGUCUCUUUUACAACCACGGUAUCUGCUCGUUUUUGGCUAAUGGACUGCCGAAAUAUUUCGGAAGCAACCAAAAUGGCUACAGAACUAUAUACCCAUGCUACUCAUGUACCAUUUAUGGCUAAAUUCGUAGUAUUCGCCAAACGUAUAGAUCCUUUGGAGGCCAGGAUACGCGUAUUUUGUAUGACCGAUGACAAAGAGGAUAAAACUCUUGAACAUCAAGAACAUUUUACCGAAGUUGCGAAGAGUAGAGAUGUUGAAGUGUUAGAAGGCAAAACUCAAUACAUGGAAUUUACGGGUAAUCUCGUACCAGUAUUAAAAAGCGGCGAACAACUUCAAUUACCAUUCAGAGCGUUUAAAGAAAAUAGAGUACCGUUUACUGCGCGGAUAAAAGAUCCAGAUGCGGUAGAUAUGAUGGGUCGAAUAAUGUUUAUGAGUGAGCCUAAGGUUCCUAAAGGCGAGGUACCGCAAACGCCAAUAUGUACAUUGAAUAUUUUAUUACCUGAAAAGAUUUCGCCAGAACCUGCAGUCUCAGAAUUGGAUUUACUUGAAUUAUCGAAAAAUUAUAGUUUUCUACGAGACGGUGGAAUCAGUCGACCGGAUGCUAUACAUAGAGCAACCAUACGUUUAAGGGAUAUAGCAAAUUUACUAGGCAAGGACUGGGAACCAUUAGCAGAAGAACUUAACAUUGCUCCGAACGAUGUAUCCUUGAUAAAACAGAAUUAUCCUGAUAAGCCAGCUCAACAAGCGGCAGCGAUGUUCAAACUCUGGCAAAGUAAUGGGAAUAAGGCGACGGGUAAUACUUUAGAAAAGGCACUCCAGAAGAUUGGCCGAGAAGAUAUUGUAAAAAAAUGUAUAUUUAACGUAGAACUUAUAACUGACGAUGUCGAAAAAGCAGUAGCAAGGGUUCGGUUAGAUCAGCCAGGUUUCGACUCCUUGAAAGAGGAGUUGGGACCCUCCAGAGACACAUCUCUUCGACGUGAUGCAACCAUGGAUCCAAAAAUGGAUCCUGAUUAUGAGGAACCAGAUAGAAUGAAGGAAUCUGAAUCCGUAGAAGAGCUUAGUAACACCAGUCAUUUGCAGGAUAAACGAUCCAAGCAGCAUGUCACAAUCGCUAAUGGCACUGUAUUCAACGGAACCUCGACCCCCAUCAAAGAUAAAUAUGCAAGCGAUGAAAAAGAAUUGGGAGAUGUGAUGGCCGAUUUCUUAGAACAUAAAUGUCACAUUACCGACACGAUGAGUAAAAAGUCACGCGACGAGCUCGACGACGAAGAAAUUAAACGACAAAGGGUGAUUGCCGACGCUAAUAAAAUAGUUUCUGGUGUAAUAGCUGAUGCAGAGAAAGAAAAGGAGAAGUUAGCGAAGGAAGGGUGGUCGGUGGUUUAUGAUGAUAUGCGGGACAGUGAGAAGGUGAGAGGUGCUGUAGGGCAAACAUCAAUUAACAAAGAGAUAGUUCAAAGUUCAGAUCUAUUUAGGGAUGCUGAGUUAGGUAUUAUUCUACAACCAAAAGUUAGAGACGACAUAGAACCACUUAUAAUCAAACAAGAACGAGCACACGGUGGGAAAAGGGAUCCUAAAAAGCAAAUUCCUAUCCCAAAACAAGCGGGCAUUUUAAAGAAGGAUACAGUAGUAGAACAACCAGUUGUUAGACAGAUUACCGUUAUAAAAGAUAUCAAACCCCCGAUAGUUACAGUAACUUCCACAGAUUCUGUCAUCUUACCUCAUAGUAAAGCAGAAGUUAGCGAAAAGGAGAAGAUGUCCAAGGAAGGUAAAGAAGUUGAUGAAAAGUUGUCGCUAGGUGAUAUCAAAGGGGCAUCGCAACCUGCGAAAGAUACCGAUAUUAAAAUUAAAACGACAGAAGUGAAAACCAAAAUCGAAACUGAUGUUCCGAUUAAAAGUAAAGUGGAACAAGAUGGAAAAUCAAUUACCGAUAAACGUCAAUCCGCGUAUAAGGAUGUAUACGAUGCACAAUAUCCUACAAAGAAUCUCGAAGAAGAAACAACAGAUACGUCGACAAAGGUGAAGGAUAAAAGCGGUGGUAUAUUUUCGGGUAUUUUUAAAAGUCCCAAAUUGAAAAAAGGAAAAUCCAAAGAUUCGAAAGAGACGUCUUUUGAUAGCGGGGAUGAGGAAAACAAAACUCUCCCGGUAUCUGAGACAGUAUCAAAACCUGUAACUACACCUCACGAUAAAACAUCUCCAUCAAAGAAAGAGACAGUAACUGUCUUAUCUGACAUCAAACUAACAACUAUAAAUUUAUUGGAAGAUGCUAAAAAUACUGCUGCUAUCUUACAUGCAUUACCAGAAUCAACCGAAAAAAAUGGAUCAGUAACAGUUCCCGUAGAAGAUAAAAAGGACAAAUCGUCAAUCGAAGUUCGUACUAAGCCACAAGUAGUGUCAGGAGUUAAAGAAAAAAUUACGACUGUAGGAACGAAAAAAGAACAGGUUAAUGGAACGUCAACGAUGAAACCAGAUCAGACAAUAGAUUCUGUUGAUGGAAUAGGUAAAAAGAUCGAGCGAGAAGAUAACAAAAAUCUCGAAAUAACGUCAAAGAGUAGUCCGAUUAAACAGGAAAAUAUUCCUAAAUCCGACACUAAGGAAUCACCGAAGAAAGAAGAUAAAGAUGAUAGCGAGACAGGUACGACUGGUAAAGAACGCGGUGGUAUAUUCGGUAUAUUUAGAAGUCCGAAAUUGAAAGAUAAAAAAACAAGUAAAGUAGUAAAAGAUUCGUCGGUUGAUUAUAGCGACGAGGAGCUUAAAUCUACGACUGAAAAAUUCCUCGAGGAAACGCGUAAAGUUGCUGACGAGGAUGCUAUUUAUACGAGUUACAAGACGGAUGAUAAAAAACCUAUUGCAACAAGUCCAGUAGCUACUUUCAGUGCUCCUACUUACGAUAGCUUUGAUGUACCGGUAGACAAAGUUAGUAGACAUUCGUACGAUGUAACGGAUAAAUUUACACCUGAACAAACUUUAUCGCCAGAUAAAAAAACUGAUAAAGAAACUACAGAAGAGAGCAAGGAGAAAGGUAACUUCUUUGGUAUAUUUAAAAGUCCUAAACUUAAGUCUAAAAAGAGAUCGAGAGAUCGUAGCACUUCGAAGGAGAGAUCGUUUGAAAGCACAGAUGAAGAUUCUUAUAAUGCAGACGUCAAAACUAUGGAACGGUCGAGCAAACCAUCGAUCCAAAAGGAAGAAGAGAGCCAGGAAUCUGGAUCAGGAGAUGAAGGUAGCAAAGAGAAAAGUGGUGGAAUUUUUGGAAUGUUCAGAAGUCCCAGAUUGCAACGUGGCUCCCGAAGUAAAUCCAAAGAAAAAAGUUUGCCACCUGAAGUACCGCAAAGUGAUUUCAAAGAAACAACAGCCAAGUUUUUGGAAGAUACGCGAAAUACCGCUGGGCUUAUCAGUGGUUAUCAACAAUCGCAUAUAAUUUCACCACAAAGUCAAGAUGAUAAGACUAAAGAACAAACUCCACCAAUCGAAAAGGUACCUAGUGAUAAAGCAGAUACCACAGCUCAAAAAGUUGUUAACGGUAUAAAGGAUGUAAAAGAUGCUGCAGCAAAAGAACUGAAAGAAGAUACUAAAGCUGUUAAAGAUGCGCUUACUGCUGGUGCUGGUGCUGUUGUGGAUGGUGCACAAUCAGCGAAAGAUAAAGUUGCAAAAGAAAGCAAAAAGGCAAAGGACAAAACAUCGGGAUUUUUCUCGGGUAUUUUCAAGGGAACUAAGCAAACGGUUGAAGACGUAUCCGAUGAUGUUAAAGAUUUCGUAGAAGAAACGAAAACCGAGGUAGCGGAGAAAGAGGCUGGUGCAAAAGAAGCAGCUGCACAAGCUGUAAAAGCUACCGAUGAUGCAAAGGAUAAACUUGUGGCUGGCGUUAAAGAUCUGAAAGAUAAGACAGUAGCAAAAGUAGACGAUGCAAAGGAGAAAACAACUGCUGGUGUAAAAGAUACUAAAGAUAAGACUGUUGCAGUGACACAGGAGACCAAGGAAAAACUAGUGACCAUCACAAAAGAUACGAGAGACAAAACAGUAACUGGAGCACAGGAUGUCUCCGAGAAAGUAGUAGCUGGAGUAAAGGAUGUAAAAGACAAAACAGAGAAAGAAGUCAAAGACCUCACCAAGAAAACAGCAGCUGGUGUAAAAGAUGUUGAAGAUAAAAGUGCUUCAGUUGUUGCAGAAGUAAAAGACAAAAUUGUUUCUAGUGGAAAGACAGCCGCUGAUAAAAUAGAAACCACAGCUCGCGGAGUUUCGGAUAGUGCAAAAGACGCAAAAGAUGCUGCAGCAAAAGAACUAAAAGAAGAUGCUAAAGCUGUAAAGGGAGUAGUUACCACAGGUGCUGGAGCUGUUGUGGAUGCCACUCAAUCGGGAAAAGAUAAGGCUGCAAAAGAAACGAAGAAAGCUAAAGAAAAAACGUCUGGAUUCUUCUCGGGAAUAUUCAAAGGAGCCAAACAUGCGGUAGAAGAUGUCUCUGGUGAUUUCAAAGAAUUUUUAGAUGAAACUAAAGCAGAAGCUGCUGAAGAAGAGGCACGUGCAAAAGAAGCAGCUACUAAAGCUGCAAAAUCUGUAGAUGAUGCUAAGGAUAAAGCCAAGACUGAAGUUAAAGAUCUAAAAGAUAAAACAGUAGAAAAAGUGCAAGAUGCGAAAGAAAAAACAGUAGCUGGUGUUAAAGAUGCAAAAGAUAAAACUGUAACUACAACGCAAGAUAUCAAAGAGAAAAUUGUGACCAGUGUUACAGAUGCUACAGGAAAAGCAGCAAGUAAAGCGAGUGACGUUACGGAAAAAGUAGCAACUGGUGCAAAGGAUGUAAAAGAUAAAUCAAAGGAAAAAGUAAAGGAUGUGACGGAGAAAACAGUAGAAGUAAUAAAAGAUGGAAAAGAAAAAACAGCUGCUGCAGCUACAGAUGCAGGGGAAAAAAUAAUCUCUGGUGGAAAAGCAGCUGCUGCUAAGGUAGAAACUGCAGCACACGAAGUUGCUGAUGGUGCCAAACACGCAAAAGAUGCAGCAGCAAAAGAAUUGAAAGAAGAUGCUGAAGCUGUGAAAGGUGCAAUAAGCACUGGCGCUGAUACUCUUGUGGACACAGCUAAAUCAGCUAAAGAUAAAACUGCGAAAGAAGCUAAAAAAGCUAAAGACAAGACAUCUGGAUUUUUCUCGGGUAUUUUUAAAGGAGCCAAGCACUCAGCUGAAGAUGUUUCUGCAGAUGUUAAAGAGUUUUUGGAUAAGACGAAAGCCGAAGCUGCAGAAGAAGAGGCUCGUGCUAAAGAAGAUGCUGCGAAAGCUGCUAAAGCUUUAGCAGAAGCAAAAGACAAGACAAUAGCUAGUGCUCAAGAUGCUAAAGAAAAAACAGUAGCCACUGUUAAAGAUGCGAAAGAAAAAACUGUUGCUGGUGUUAAAGAUGCAAAAGAUAAAACUGUAAAGACAACGCAAGAUAUCAAAGAGAAAAUUGUGACCAGUGUUACAGAUGCUACAGGAAAAGCAGCAAGUAAAGCAAGUGACGUUACGGAAAAAGUAGCAACUGGUGCAAAGGAUGUAAAAGAUAAAUCAAAGGAAAAAGUAAAGGAUGUGACGGAGAAAACAGUAGAAGUAAUCAAAGAUGGAAAAGAAAAAACAGCUGCUGCAGCUACGGUUGCAGGCGAAAAAAUUAUUUCUGGUGGGAAAGCAGCUGCUGUUAAAGUAGAAACUGCAGCACACGAUGUUGCUGAUGGUGCUAAACAUGCGAAAGAUGCAGCAGCAAAAGAAUUGAAAGAAGAUGCCGCAGCUGUGAAAGGUACAAUUUCCACUGGUGUUGAUACUGUUGUAGACGCUGCCCAGUCGGCGAAAGACAAAUCUGAGAAAGAAGUUAAAAAAGCUAAAGAUAAAACAUCUGGAUUUUUCUCAAGUAUUUUCUGGGGAUCGAAGAGCUCGGUUGAUGAUGCUUCCGAUGAUGUUCAACAGUUUUUGGAUAAGACUAAAGAUGAAGCCGAAGAAGAAAAAGCACGUGCGAAAGAAGCUGCGUCACGUGCCGCAAAAUCCGUCGAUGAUGUAAAGGACAAGGCUGUUGCAGGAAUUAAAGAUAUAAAAGAUAAAACAGUCGAAGGAGUACAAGAUGCGAAGGAAAAAACUGUAGCUAGUGUUAAAGAUGCAAAAGAUAAAACUGUAACGACAACCCAAGAUAUCAAAGAGAAAAUUGUGACCAGUGUUACAGAUGCUACAGGAAAAGCAGCAAGUAAAGCGAGUGACGUUACGGAAAAAGUAGCAACUGGUGCAAAGGAUGUAAAAGAUAAAUCUAAGGAAAAAGUAAAGGAUAUGACGGAGAAAACAGUAGAAGUCAUUAAAGAUGGAAAAGAAAAAACAGCAGCAGUAGCUACGGAUGCAGGAGAAAAAAUAAUCUCUGGUGGAAAAGCAGCUGCUGUUAAGGUAGAAACUGCAGCACACGGUGUUGCUGAUGGUGCCAAACAUGCGAAAGAUGCAGUAGCAAAAGAAUUAAAAGAAGACGCCGAAGUUAUGAAAGGUGCAAUAAGCACUGGCGCUGAUACUCUUGUGGACACAGCUAAAUCAGCUAAAGAUAAAACUGCGAAAGAAGCUAAAAAAGCUAAAGAUAAGACAUCUGGAUUUUUCUCGGGUAUUUUUAAAGGAUCGAAGCACUCAGCUGAAGAUGUUUCUGCAGAUGUUAAGGAAUUUUUGGACAAGACAAAAGCCGAAGCUGCAGAAGAAGAGGCACGUGCUAAAGAAGAUGCUGCGAAAGCUGCUAAAGCUUUAGCAGAAGCAAAAGACAAGACAAUUGCUGGACUUCAAGAUGCUAAAGAGAAGACAGUAACCACUGUUAAAGAUGCAAAAGACAAAACAGUAGCUGCGACGCAAGACAUCAAAGAGAAAGUAGUGUCGGGCACUAAAGAUGCUAAAGACGAAGUCAAAAGUAAAGCACAUGAUUUAACGGAUAAAGCAGUAACUGGUGUAAAAGAUGUUAAAGAUAAAACAGUCGAAGGAGUAUCACAUAUUGCUGAGAAAACUACGGAUGGUGUAAAAGAUAUAAAAACUAAAGCAGCUUCUGCAAUUACAGCAACAGGAGACGGUAUUACUUCAGGUGGGAAAAAAGUUGCAGAUAAAAUAAAAACGACAACUGACAGUGUAACAGAGACUACAAAGGAUGCAAAAGAUGCUGCAGCGAAGGAAAUUAAAAAAGAUGCUGAAAUCGUUAAAGGUGCUGCAAUUUCUGGAGCUGAUGCUGUUGUAGACAGUGCUCAAUCAGCAAAAGAUAAGGCUGCAAAAGAAACCAAAAAAGCUAAAGAAAAAACGUCUGGAUUUUUAUCUGGAAUAUUCAAAGGUGCUAAGCACGCUGUUGACGAUGCUUCUGAAAAUGUGAAAGAAUUUAUUGAAGAUACAAAAGCCGAAGCAGAUGAAGAAAAAGAACGUGGAAAGAAAGCUGCUUCAGAAGCUACUAAAUCUGCAACUGAUACGAAAGAUAAGAUCGCAGAUGAGUUUAAAGAUCUGAAAGAUAAAACAGUAACAGGAGUACACGAUGCUAAAGAGAAGACAGUAGACACUCUUAAAGAUGCAAAGGAUAAAACAGUAGCUACAACUUUAGAUGUCAAAGAUAAAGUAGUUUCUGGAGCUAAAGAUGUUAAAGACAAAGCAGUAAGUAAAGUACAUGACAUCACGCAUGAGGCAGCAAUUGAUAUGAGGGAUGCAAAAGAAAAGACAAUUGAGGGUGUAAAAGAUGUAACGGAUAAAACAGCGACCGGUAUAAAAGACGUCAAAGAUAAAACUGUUAAAGCAGCAACAGUAGCUGGAGACACAAUUGUAUCUAGCGGUAAAAAAGUUACCGAAAAAGUAGAAACUACAACUCACGGAAUUUCGGAAAAAGCAAAAGAUGCGAAAGAUGCAGUAGCGAAAGAAUUGAAAGAAGAUGCCGAAGCUGUGAAAGGUGCAAUAAGCACUGGCGCAGAUACUCUUGUGGACACAGCUAAAUCAGCUAAAGAUAAAACUGCGAAAGAAGCUAAAAAAGCUAAAGACAAGACAUCUGGAUUUUUCUCGGGUAUUUUUAAAGGAGCGAAGCACUCAGCUGAAGAUGUUUCCGCAGAUGUUAAGGAGUUUUUGGAUAAGACGAAAGCUGAAGCUGCAGAAGAAGAGGCACGUGCUAAAGAAGAUGCUGCACGAGCUGCUAAAGCUUUAGCAGAAGCAAAAGACAAGACAAUAGCUGGUGCUCAAGAUGCUAAAGAAAAGACAGUAGCUGCUGUUAAAGACGUAAAAGACAAAACAGUAGCUGCGACGCAAGACAUCAAAGAUAAAGUAGUGUCGAGCACUAAAGAUGCUAAAGACAAAGCAGUAAGUAAAGCAAGUGAUGUUACACAUGCAGCAGUUACUGACGUGAAGGAAGCAAAAGGAAAGACAAUUGAAGCAGUACAAGAUGUUACAGAAAAAACAACUGCAGGCAUGAAGGAUAUCAAAGAUAAAUCUACUCUUGCAGCAACAGAAGUAAAAGAUAAAAUAAUUUCUGGUACAAAAACGACUGCUGAUAAAGUUGAUAAAGCAGCAGAAAAGGUUGCAGAUGAUGCUAAAGAUGCUAAGGAUGGUCUAGAAAAAGAAUUGAAAAAAGAUGCAGAAGUCUUAAAGGGUGCUAUUAUUACUGGUGCUGAUACUGUUAUAGACGGUGCUCAAUCAACAACGGAUAAGGCCGCAAAAGAAACGAAGAAAUCGAAAGACAAGGCAACUGGCUUCUUCUCGGGUAUUCUAAAGGGAGCUAAGCACGCAGUAGAAGAUGUCUCUAGUGAUUUCAAAGAAUUUUUAGAUGAAACUAAAGCCGAAGCUGCCGAAGAAGAGGCACGUGCAAAAGAAGCAGCUGCUAAAGCUGCAAAAUCUGUAGAUGAUGCUAAGGAUAAAGUCAAGACUGAAGUUAAAGAUCUAAAAGAUAAAACAGUAGAAAAAGUGCAAGAUGCGAAAGAAAAAACAGUAGCUGGUGUUAAAGAUGCAAAAGAUAAAACUGUAACUACAACGCAUGAUAUCAAAGAGAAAAUUGUGACCACUGUUACUGAUGCUACAGGAAAAGCAGCAAGUAAAGCGAGUGACGUUACGGAAAAAGUAGCAACUGGUGCAAAGGAUGUAAAAGAUAAAUCAAAGGAAAAAGUAAAGGAUAUGACGGAGAAAACAGUAGAAGUCAUUAAAGAUGGAAAAGAAAAAACAGCAGCAGUAGUUACGGAUGCAGGAGAAAAAAUAAUCUCUGGUGGAAAAACAGCUGCUGUUAAGGUAGAAACUGCAUCACACGGAGUUGCUGAUGGUGCCAAACAUGCGAAAGAUGCAGUAGCAAAAGAAUUAAAAGAAGACGCCGAAGUUAUGAAAGGUGCAAUAAGCACUGGCGCUGAUACUCUUGUGGACACAGCCAAAUCAGCUAAAGAUAAAACUGCGAAAGAAGCUAAAAAAGCUAAAGACAAGACGUCAGGAUUUUUCUCGGGUAUCUUUAAGGGAGCUAAGCACACAGUUGACGACGCUUCUGAUGAUGUUCAAGAGUUCUUAAACAAAACAAAAGCUGAAGCGGAAGAAGAAAAAGCACGUGCUAAAGAAACUGCUUCUAGUGCUGCUAAAUUUAUAGAAGAUGCGAAAGAAAAGACUGCAGCUGGGUUACAAGAUGGUAAAGAUAAAACAAUAGCCGCUGUUAAAGAUUCGAAAGAUAAAACUAUUGCUACCGCGAAAGACGUCAAAGAGAAGAUUGUAUCUGAUACUAAAGAUGUCGGUAACAAAGCUGUAAGUGGAGUGCAAGAUAUCACCGGUAAAGUGGUAUCCGAUGUAAAAAGUACAAAGGAUAUAACAAUUGAAGGAGUCCAUGGUCUUACGGAAAAAGUAGCGACUGAAUUGAAGGAUGUCAAGGAUAAAGUCUCUGUAACAGUUGCAGAUGCAGGAGAUAAAAUUAAGUCUAGAGAAAAGAAAGCAGCUGAUAAAGUAGAAACUGCAGUUUAUGAAGUGGCGGAUGGAACGAAGCGUGCGAAGGAUGCUGUAGCGAAAGAACUGAAAGAAGAUGCCGAAGCUGUAAAAGACUCAUUUGCCUCCGCUACUGGUGCUGUAGCGAGUGAUGCACAAUCAGCAAAAGAUAAAGCUGCAAAAGAAACCAAAAAAGCGAAAGAUAAAACAUCUGGAUUCUUUUCGGGCAUAAUUAAAGGAGCUAAACACGCUGUUGAAGAAGUUUCGGAAGACGUUAAAGAAUUUUUGGCAGAGACGAAAGUCGAAGCUGCUGAAGAAGAGGAGCGUGCGAAAGAAGAAGCAUUACGUACUGCAAAAUCUUUAGAAGAUACGAAAAAUAAGAUCGCUGAAAGUGCUAAAGAACUAAAGGAUAAAACAGUAACAGAAAUGCAAGAUGCAAAGGAUAAAACAGUAUCUGCUGUUAAAGAUGCAAAGGAUAAAACAAUUGUUACAACGCAAGAUGUCAAAGGAAAAUUAGUUUCUAGCACUAAAGAUGCUAAAGACGGAGCAGUUAGUGGAUUACAGGAUGUUACAGAAAAAGUUGUAGUUGGUGUAAAAGACGUAAAAGAUAAAGUAGAUUCUGCGGUUGUUAAGACGGAAGGAAAAAUUUUAUCCGAUGGAAAGGAAGCUGGUGAUAAAGUAAAAGUAACAGCACAUGAAUUUAAAGAAGGUGCAAAAGAUGUAAAAGAUGCUCUUACAAAAGAAGGUAAAAAAGAUGCUGAAGUAUUAAAGGAUGCUGCUAUUGCUGGAGCUGAUGCUGUUGUGGAUGAUAGUCAGUCAGCAAAAGAUAAAGCAGCAAAAGGAGCAAAGAAAGCUAAAGAGAAAACAUCAGGAUUUUUCUCUGGUAUAUUCAAAGGAGCAAAACAAGCAGUAGAAGAUGUUUCUGGUGAUUUUAAAGAAUUUUUAGAUGAAACUAAAGCCGAAGCUGCAGAAGAAGAAGCGCGUGCAAAAGAAGCAGCUGCUAAAGCUGCAAAAUCUGUAGAUGAUGCUAAGGAUAAAGUCAAGACUGAAGUUAAAGAUCUAAAAGAUAAAACAGUAGAAAAAGUGCAAGAUGCGAAAGAAAAAACAGUAGCUGGUGUUAAAGAUGCAAAAGAUAAAACUGUAACUACAACGCAUGAUAUCAAAGAGAAAAUUGUGACCACUGUUACUGAUGCUACAGGAAAAGCAGCAAGUAAAGCGAGUGACGUUACGGAAAAAGUAGCAACUGGUGCAAAGGAUGUAAAAGAUAAAUCAAAGGAAAAAGUAAAGGAUAUGACGGAGAAAACAGUAGAAGUCAUUAAAGAUGGAAAAGAAAAAACAGCAGCAGUAGCUACGGGUGCAGGAGAAAAAAUAAUCUCUGGUGGAAAAGCAGCUGCUGUUAAGGUAGAAACUGCAGCACACGGAGUUGCUGAUGGUGCCAAACAUGCGAAAGAUGCAGUAGCAAAAGAAUUAAAAGAAGACGCCGAAGUUAUGAAAGGUGCAAUAAGCACUGGCACUGAUACUCUUGUGGACACAGCCAAAUCAGCUAAAGAUAAAACUGCGAAAGAAGCUAAAAAAGCUAAAGACAAGACAUCUGGAUUUUUCACAAGUGUUUUUAAAGGAGCUAAACACUCAGUCGAUGAUAUUUCUGUAGAUGUCAAAGACUUUUUGGACAGGACGAAAGCCGAAGCAGCGGAAGAAGAGGCACGUGCUAAAGAAGAUGCUGCACGAGCUGCUAAAGCUUUAGCAGAAGCAAAAGACAAGACAAUUGCUGGACUUCAAGAUGCUAAAGAGAAGACGGUAACUACUGUUAAAGACGCAAAGGAUAAAACAGUAGCUGCGACGCAAAACAUCAAAGAGAAAGUAGUGUCGGGCACUAAAGAUGCUAAAGACGAAGUCAAAAGUAAGACACAUGAUUUAACGGAUAAAGCAGUAACUGGUGUAAAAGAUGUUAAAGAUAAAACAGUCGAAGGAGUAUCACAUAUUGCUGAGAAAACUACGGAUGGUGUAAAAGAUAUAAAAACUAAAGCAGCUUCCGCAAUUACAGCAACAGGAGACGGUAUUACUUCAGGUGGAAAAAAAGUUGCAGAUAAAAUAAAAACCACAACUCACAGUGUAGCAGAGACUACAAAGGAUGCAAAAGAUGCUGCAGCUAAGGAAAUUAAAAAAGAUGCUGAAGUCGUUAAAGGUGCUGCAAUUGCUGGAGCUGAUGCUGUCGUAGAUAGUGCUCAAUCAGCAAAAGAUAAGGCUGCAAAAGAAACUAAAAAAGCUAAAGAGAAAACAUCUGGAUUUUUCUCUGGUAUAAUUAAGGGUGCUAAACAAGCGGUAGGAGAGGUCACAGAUGAUGUGAAAGAAUUCUUUGAAGAAACCAAAGCCGAAGCUGAAGCUGAAGAGGCGCGUGCAAAGGAAGCUGCAACGCGUUCAGUUAAAAUGGGAAAAGAUUCGAAAGAUAAAACUGUAGAUGCUGUCAAGGAUACAAAAACGAAGGCAGAGGCCGUAGUAUCUGAUGCUGGACACAAAAUUACAAGUGUUACCGCUGCUUCUGAGGAUUAUUUCCUUCCCAGGGAAUCUGAAGAUAGACGAAAAAUAAAUGAACAAUUUGGUGGUAGAACGACCACGAUUAUAAGUAGUAAAAUAAUUUCUCCUGAACAAGGAGUUUCUACACCAGAAGGUUACGGUUUUUCAACAUCUACAUUCGAUCCCAAACCUGGUAUUACCACAGUUAGUUCCAUUGUUAGCAGUGAUCAGGACUUGGUAUCACGGGAUAGAUCGAAAAAGAUUUCGCGCAUUCCACAACGUAUUAGUACUUCUCCGGAUGACAGAACUGAACAGCUAAGUACAAAUUUGGGUUCAGGUAGAGUAGUUGUGAUAUCUAGUGAAUCAGAGCACCUUGAACCUCACACAAGACAAUCCGUCACCACAGUCGUAACAAAGUCUGUGCGGACGGCAGCAACACCACCACCCAGUCUCGCCGAGUUCACUGACAGUAGAAUCGAAGAUGUAACAGAAGAAGCUGCAAGACGAGCACAAAACCUAGUUCAACAAACAUAUUCUGUGACAAAACCAGGGCAUGAUUCGGCUGAGAUUGAUGGGACUGUAGAGAGGCAUGCUACUUCUGCUCCAACAAAGCAACCUGUUCCCGCCCCACGUCAUUUCACCAUCAAGUCGUCCGCCAAAGCUGAUUUUCGUCUAGAUCUUGGAGACGCUUCACGAACACCACAUGGUCUUCAAAUAAAGAAACCAUACGAACGUUCUCCUGAAUCUCCAGAAAAAAGCAGCCCUAAAUCCAAGAUUCCUGUGAAAAUAAGGAAACAGAUGGAAGACGAAGAGAAUCUCAAAAUUAGUAAAACCAUAGAAUCAGAUAUUCGUACCCGAUCAAAGAUGGAAUCUCAUAUUCCUUUGUUAAGAUCAACCGAUGUAGUACGUAUUACGAAAGAUGAAUUGUUAGACAAAGAUCAUAAGACUCUGUCGCAAUUAAAUACCAAUCGUCCUAUCGACGAAGAUAAGGAUAUUAUAGAGACUGAAUAUUUGACGAAGAAGGAAAACAUCGAAAUGUAUCCAUCGAAAGUAUUUGACUCUGAUAAAACUUAUACUACGGUGACAACGAUCGUGUCUUCCUCGGAUCAAACGAUCGAUCCCGACAAAUUAAAAGAAUUCAUGCAAAUGGAUGAAGUAUUGAAGACUGUUAAAACGGUAACUACUACGAUGGAAAUAACAGAUUCCGGAUAUCCUACGGAAGUUGUUAAAAGGGAAACUACUAGAAUCACCGAAGUUUCCCCUGAUCUUAGACAGAUUAGCGAAGAUCAAACUAAUAUAGGAUUAAAUACAAGUAACAAUAGUAGUCAAAGUAUGAAAACAAAUGAAGAUGGAACAUUCAUAGAAAGAGUAACAACGAUAAGGCAUUUUACUGGGCCCUUUUAUUCGGAAAAAUUAAGUCAAUCGAUGUUAGAAUCGAUGAGACCUGGAGAUGAUCGAUCGGAUGAUCCAUUCUUUUCAUCGGACAUGAAGACGUCGGAAUGCGAAAUUGAUAGGGGUUACGUGAAAGCUGGAAAAUCGGAAAGCGAUGAACGUGACACAUGGGCGCAAGCUGCUGCGGCAGAAUACUCCAUUAAUAAUUCGGAGCAAUGGGAAACGCAGCUAUCUUUAGACACGUCACCUGGUUCUGGUAACGGUGACAUUUAUACAAAGAACGAUAGUUCGCGGCACGAAUUGAACAGCGACACAGAUAGUGAUGGUUCACCUCGGCCAAGAAGAAGAUCCCCAUGCAAGAGACGUACUUUGGGCAGUUCUAGCGGGUCGGACGUAGCACUGCACGAAGGUGCAGAACUGUCCCCAUUGGAGGACGACCAAGUGACAGAAACAGACAGUACGGUACGAUCAGUUUGCUCGAGCAUGCAGUGCAGUGUGAUAGAGACGAAGCCUAGGACGAAGACUACCGGUAGGACGAGCUGUGCUUGUUGGAUGAGCGCAGCAGCUGCUGUAUUGAUGGUCCUACUAGCAAUUUUACUUACCGUGGAGCCACGUACAUUCCAACGUGCCAUCUACACUCUCUCUAACAAUAUCCCGAGGCAAGCUGGAAUCUGACUUUUUGCAACAAAGCGAGCCAACUUUUGUAGAGACCACAACGACCGAAGUGGAUCCUUUAACGCAGGAAAGAAUAACAAGAACCGUGCAAGUAGUAACGACGACAACAACGGCACCGAUGACAGGUGGCAUAGCUGUGACGGACGAUUUGCGAGAAUCCAUGCA
This 18992-nucleotide unclassified non-coding RNA is filed under the name Polistes fuscatus (common paper wasp). RNAcentral describes it as "ankyrin-3-like, transcript variant X15". Lineage: Eukaryota; Metazoa; Arthropoda; Insecta; Hymenoptera; Vespidae. The record is from RNAcentral.